This 467-nucleotide ribosomal RNA is filed under the name uncultured bacterium. RNAcentral's name for it is "partial 16S ribosomal RNA". It matches the Rfam family "Bacterial small subunit ribosomal RNA", at positions 28 to 507 of the family's 1533-position model. The record is from RNAcentral.
GAUGAACGCUGACAGAAUGCUUAACACAUGCAAGUCAACUUGAAUUUGGGUUUUUAACUUAGGUUUGGGUGGCGGACGGGUGAGUAACGCGUAAAGAACUUGCCUCACAGCUAGGGACAACAUUUGGAAACGAAUGCUAAUACCUAAUAUUAUGAUAAUAGGGCAUCCUAUAAUUAUGAAAGCUAUAAGCGCUGUGAGAGAGCUUUGCGUCCCAUUAGCUAGUUGGAGAGGUAACGGCUCACCAAGGCGAUGAUGGGUAGCCGGUCUGAGAGGGUGAUCGGCCACAAGGGGACUGAGACACGGCCCUUACGCCAACGGGAGGCAGCAGUGGGGAAUAUUGGACAAUGGACCGAGAGUCUGAUCCAGCAAUUCUGUGUGCACAAUGAAGUUUUUCGGAAUGUAAAGUGCUUUCAGUUGGGAAGAAACAAAUGACGGUACCAACAGAAGAAGAGACGGCUAAAUACGUG